GGGCCCUCUGGGUCCACCUCCCACCCGUGGCUAUCGUACCUUGUUGCGUUCGGCGGGRCCGCCGUUUCGACGGACGCCGGGGAGGCCUUGCGCCCCCGGGCCCGCGCCCGCCGAAUACCCCAACAUGAACGCUGUUCUGAAAGUAUGCAGUCUGAGUUGAUUAUCGUAAUCAGUUAAAACUUUCAUCAACGGAUCUCUGGGUUCCGGCAUCGAUGAAGAACGCACCGAACUGCGAUAASUAAUGUGAAUUGCAGAAUUCACUGAAUCAUCGAGUCUUUGAACGCACAUUGCGCCCCCUGGUAUUCCGGGGGGGAUGCCUGUCCGAGCGUCAUUGCUGCCCUCAGGCACGGCUUGUGUGUUGGGCCCCCGUCCCCCUCUCCCGGGGGACGGGCCCUAAAGGCAGCGGCGGCACCGCGUCCGGUCCUCGAGCGUAUGGGGCUUUGUCACCUGCUCUGUAGGCCCGGCCGGCGCCAGCCGACACCCAACUUUAUUUUUCUAAGGUUGACCUCGGAUCAGGUAGGGAUACCCGCUGAACUUAAGCAUAUCAAUAAGCGGAGGAAAAGAAACCAACAGGGAUUGCCUCAGUAACGGCGAGUGAAGCGGCAAGAGCUCAAAUUUGAAAGCUGGCCCCUUCGGGGUCCGCGUUGUAAUUUGCAGAGGAUGCUUCGGGUGCAGCCCCCGUCUAAGUGCCCUGGAACGGGCCGUCAUAGAGGGUGAGAAUCCCGUCUGGGACGGGGUGUCUGCGUCCGUGUGAAGCUCCUUCGACGAGUCGAGUUGUUUGGGAAUGCAGCUCUAAAUGGGUGGUAAAUUUCAUCUAAAGCUAAAUACUGGCCGGAGACCGAUAGCGCACAAGUAGAGUGAUCGAAAGAUGAAAAGCACUUUGAAAAGAGAGUUAAACAGCACGUGAAAUUGUUGAAAGGGAAGCGUUUGCGACCAGACUCGCCCGCGGGGUUCAGCCGGCAUUCGUGCCGGUGUACUUCCCCGUGGGCGGGCCAGCGUCGGUUUGGGCGGCCGGUCAAAGGCCUUCGGAAUGUAUCACCUCUCGGGGUGUCUUAUAGCCGAGGGUGCAAUGCGGCCUGCCUGGACCGA
RNAcentral lists this ribosomal RNA (1089 nucleotides) under fungal endophyte. Its description in RNAcentral is "eukaryotic LSU rRNA". The stretch from base 503 to 1089 matches the Rfam family "Eukaryotic large subunit ribosomal RNA", at positions 1 to 592 of the family's 3401-position model. Lineage: Eukaryota; Fungi. The record is from RNAcentral.